Long non-coding RNA from Alligator mississippiensis (American alligator), 2553 nucleotides. RefSeq lists it as uncharacterized. The record is from RefSeq and is a predicted model, not a curated record. Lineage: Eukaryota; Metazoa; Chordata; Crocodylia; Alligatoridae. The transcript is spliced from 4 exons.
GCAAGCAGGUGGGGUCUGUUGUUCCCGGGGCUGCAGCAGGGGCACCACAUCGCAAAUAUGCGAAUCGCAUAUAUGCAAAUUUACCUCUCAUAGAACAAAGUUCAGGUACAAAAUGGUCAUCGCAUAAGAGUGAAUUCACAUAAAUCAAACCCACAUAAAUUGAGGGAAACCUGUUUUAGUUUAAAUUGCACCACUGACCAUUUUCUGAUGAUUUUUCAGACAUUGAUUUGUCUCUCGCAUAACAAUACAAAGCAGGGGCUUGGACUAGAUGAGACCUCCUGAGGUGCCUUCCAGCCCUGCUUGUUAUGAUUACAGGAGCCCAUGUAAUUCUAUUUCCAUUAAAUCCCUAGUAAUAAUUAUUGCCCUUACUGUGAGUUCACAACUAGAAUGACACGGGGAUCGCAAAGACACGGGGUCCAUGCAGCACUGUUCAUCUCGCGGCCUCUGGUUGCUGCAGCUGCUGAGAUCAGCGCACGGGUCACAGGGAGCACGAAGGCCCUCACCAGUGCAUCGGGCUGGAGGCUCAGAGAGGAGCCCUGGGCUCCGAGUGCCCCGACUCGCUCUGUGCAGGUCCAGAGCGCUGGGAGGGGACACAAACCCGGAUGCAGGACCAGGCUCCCAGGGAGACAGGACAAGGGGCUUCCCACCAGCCUGUGCUGUGAAAGCUUCACCCCCAGGCAGGGCUCCCAGACUUGCCCCACAACAGAGCAGGGGCUCCCCAGACACGGCGCAGUGCGAGGGGCCCCGGGGCGAUACGUGCUGCGCUGGGCUGUGGGGUGCACGUGCAGAGCUUGCACUGCAAUCCCGGCACAGCGCGGUGCUGCACCACGCACACAUCCCCUCGCAGCGCACUGCCAGUGGGGGUGGUGUUGGUCCAUUGGUAGCUGCGGGGUGAGGGAGCAGGCGCAGGAGUCCCGAGGGCACAGCGGGACACGGCUGGACACAGACAAGGGGCCUGGCUCCCCGGCCGGCGUUGGCUCGGUGCCUGCAGGGGACAGCGCUGCGGGCCGCACUGACCGCACUCGUCCGACACCGGCCUAUCGCUAAGCCUCUGACCGGCAGUGACAGCUGACAGCAAGCGCGCCAAAUCCGCUGGCUUGGAAGUACAACGCCAGCAUCCACGUCACAAGCCAAGUGUGCAACACAGGCACCGACCUGGAGGUUCUUAUAGCGCCCCUGGCAGACCCCGGCGGAGUUUAUAGCCAAGACUCCCGAGUGCUACUGGCCAGCCGUCACGCACACCGACCACGCGCGAGCGAGGAGCACGUCUGUGCGCGCCCCGCGCCGCCCCGCGCCGCGCUGCACCGCUCCAACACGCCGCACGAACCCCUGCGGCCGCCGCCGCUCCCCCGCGGUGCCGGCCGGGGGUGGGGGGCACCGCUCAGCGCAGCCCGCAGCCACACGGAGCCGGGCACUGCCCUGCCUCCGCCCCAGGCAGCAAGCAACAUCGCAGAUAAAGAGACCUGAUAAGAUGGUCUGGGCACGUGGAAUAAGUAAGUCUCAGCCGGGCUCCUGUGUGAUAUUAGCUCUGUGAGGCAUGUGAACACCUGCAUGCCAUUCACACGGCAGACCUCGAGGUUUCAGGCAGGAAGCCGUAGCAUCAGAAGCCGUCCGUGUCUGCUGUGGGCUGAGCUCUCUGCGAGAGUGCUACAACUUGUUGUGAAGCAUUUACAGCUGCUCCACUUGUCCAUAUUUUCAAACAGGCAGGAUCUUUUGAAAACGAUACCUAAUGUUAUAUUAUUAAAAUGGCUAUCCAUACAAGGCAGAGAGUGUAAAAAUGAAAAUGCUGACAGACCUGUAGAGUUGUUCAGCCAAAAUCCAGUUCCCUUCAGGGACCCGGAGCCAGGAGUUGUGCACUGUGUAGUAGCUGGGGAGAAACGAACAGACUGGUGCAGACGCUGGGCUCAUGUAGCUCCAGCCUGAGCCCUCUUCCAGCCUCUCAGACUGCUUGCUCUCCUAAAGGAUCAGGUACAUCCCAGUGCCCUGCUACAUACUUAUUCUGUAUACUAGAUAACCAUGAUAGUUGAUUACCGUGUUAAUUAUUUGUAUGUCCUUCGAUGAGGAGAGGUGACAAUCCUGACGAUAGUUCUGAUGUAGCUCCUUUUAACUCCAUGGUCAUCAGAUGAAGUUCAUCACAUUUCUGAGUGAGCUCCAAUCCCACUACCAGAAAUUAGCGGGAGAGGAUGGAGAAGAGACAGUCAACUCCACGUGGAAGAGAGAUGCUUGGUACAGGCUGCUCCAGAGCCCAACGGGAGGGGAACUGGACAGUGAGAAUGAAGAGGACAGCAACAUAACCGGACCCGAUGACAGCGAGGAGGUCGGCGACAGGAUCAGCAGCAGUGGGAGUGACAGCGACAUCAACAGCAAAAAGGACAGGGAAUCAACUGAGAUUUUAAACCCUAAAGAGUUUCUUUGGACCAAAGGUCUAUGGCAGCAGGUGGAUGUGUGGAGCCCCAGGGGAAUGGGUGUGUUUUUUGUAACACGUGCGCAGUUCUUCUUGUGCGAUGAAAGGUUUAUGAUGGAGGAUGAAUAUAUUUAACUUUAUAUAUUAAA